UACGGAGGGAGCUAGCGUUGUUCGGAAUUACUGGGCGUAAAGCGCACGUAGGCGGCUUUGUAAGUUAGAGGUGAAAGCCCGGGGCUCAACUCCGGAAUUGCCUUUAAGACUGCAUCGCUCGAAUCCGGGAGAGGUGAGUGGAAUUCCGAGUGUAGAGGUGAAAUUCGUAGAUAUUCGGAAGGACACCAGUGGCGAAGGCGGCUCACUGGACCGGUAUUGACGCUGAGGUGCGAAAGCGUGGGGAGCAAACAGG
Molecule: ribosomal RNA, 253 nt
Filed under: uncultured bacterium
Lineage: Bacteria
Description: partial 16S ribosomal RNA
Rfam family: Bacterial small subunit ribosomal RNA
Source: RNAcentral